CAGUAAGUUCUACAGAAAUUAGAUGCUGAAUUGAAAUUGUAUUUUUAUCCAAAAUAUAAGAAUCUAUUCAAGAAAAGGUUCACAGUGGAACAGGAAAUUGAUUUAAAAGAUGUUUUGAAGGCUCUUGGAAUAACUGAAAUUUUCAUCAAAGAUGCAAAUUUGACAGGCCUCUCUGAUAAUAAGGAGAUUUUUCUUUCCAAAGCAAUUCACAAGUCCUUCCUAGAGGUUAAUGAAGAAGGCUCAGAAGCUGCUGCUGUCUCAGGAAUGAUUGCAAUUAGUAGGAUGGCUGUGCUGUAUCCUCAAGUUAUUGUCGACCAUCCAUUUUUCUUUCUUAUCAGAAACAGGAGAACUGGUACAAUUCUAUUCAUGGGACGAGUCAUGCAUCCUGAAACAAUGAACACAAGUGGACAUGAUUUCGAAGAACUUUAAGUUACUUUAUUUGAAUAACAAGGAAAACAGUAACUAAGCACAUUAUGUUUGCAACUGGUAUAUAUUUAGGAUUUGUGUUUUACAGUAUAUCUUAAGAUAAUAUUUAAAAUAGUUCCAGAUAAAAACAAUAUAUGUAAAUUAUAAGUAACUUGUCAAGGAAUGUUAUCAGUAUUAAGCUAAUGGUCCUGUUAUGUCAUUGUGUUUGUGUGCUGUUGUUUAAAAUAAAAGUACCUAUUGAA
Molecule: small RNA, 668 nt
Filed under: Pan troglodytes (chimpanzee)
Lineage: Eukaryota; Metazoa; Chordata; Mammalia; Primates; Hominidae
Description: processed transcript
Source: RNAcentral